UAGCUCAGUGGUAGAGCUCCAGCUUCAUGCGCGGGGAGACCUGGGUUCCAUUCCCGG
RNAcentral lists this transfer RNA (57 nucleotides) under Toxocara canis (dog roundworm). It matches the Rfam family "tRNA", at positions 8 to 63 of the family's 71-position model. Rfam says of the family: Transfer RNA (tRNA) molecules are approximately 80 nucleotides in length. Lineage: Eukaryota; Metazoa; Nematoda; Chromadorea; Rhabditida; Toxocaridae. The record is from Rfam by way of RNAcentral.